UAGGAAUCUCCACAAUGGACGCAAGUCUGAUGGAGCAACGCCGCGUGAGUGAAGAAGGUUUUCGGACCGUAAAGCUCUGUUGUUGGUGAAGAAGGAUAGAGGUAGUAACUGGCCUUUAUUUGACGGUAAUCAACCAGAAAGUCACGGCUAACUACGUGCCAGCAGCCGCGGUAAUACGUAGGUGGCAAGCGUUGUCCGGAUUUAUUGGGCGUAAAGCGAGCGCAGGCGGAAGAAUAAGUCUGAUGUGAAAGCCCUCGGCUUAACCGAGGAAUUGCAUCGGAAACUGUUUUCUUGAGUGCAGAAGAGGAGAGUAGGAACUCCAUGUGUAGCGGUGGAAUGCGUAGAUAUAUGGAAG
Molecule: ribosomal RNA, 355 nt
Filed under: uncultured bacterium
Lineage: Bacteria
Description: partial 16S ribosomal RNA
Rfam family: Bacterial small subunit ribosomal RNA
Source: RNAcentral